GUUGGAGUAUAGGAUUGCUAGUGAUUUUUGCACAAUAAUUUUGUAUCCUGAGACUUUGUUGAAGUUGCUUAUCAGCUUAAGAAGCUUUUGGACCGAGACAAUGGAGUUCUCUACACAUAGGAUCAUGUCUUCUGAAAACAAAGAUACUUUGACA
Molecule: long non-coding RNA, 154 nt
Organism: Sapajus apella (tufted capuchin)
Lineage: Eukaryota; Metazoa; Chordata; Mammalia; Primates; Cebidae
Exons: 3
Source: RefSeq, a predicted model, not a curated record